This 61-nucleotide microRNA precursor is filed under the name Sarcophilus harrisii (Tasmanian devil). Its description in RNAcentral is "mir-7398 microRNA precursor family". It matches the Rfam family "mir-7398 microRNA precursor family". Lineage: Eukaryota; Metazoa; Chordata; Mammalia; Dasyuromorphia; Dasyuridae. The record is from Rfam by way of RNAcentral.
UGUGUAGAGGCAGGGAAAUAUGCCGUGUUGUCCUUUUCGGUAAAUCCUUGCCUUUCACAGA